CAUAGUGUCUUUUCUACCUCCCUUUGCAAGAUCCUGAAGGGUGAAAUAUGGCAGGACUUUGAGGUCUUUAGCAUAACAGAAAUAUUCUGAAAAUCUCCCCCUGGAUCGGCAACUGUAAAGGCCAACAGGUGGAUUUUGAAACAGGCAGUUGCUAUACUACUGGUCCAAUUUCCUCCAUCAAAUUUGGUUCAAUGAUUUCUCUAUCAACUUCAACAUCCCAUUUAUGCAACAACUGGCAAACAUCUAGUAUAUGUCAGAGACUGUACUAAUCACUGAAGGA
This is a long non-coding RNA of Hyaena hyaena (striped hyena), 280 nucleotides long. RefSeq lists it as uncharacterized. The transcript has 3 exons. NCBI's taxonomy places the organism in Eukaryota, Metazoa, Chordata, Mammalia, Carnivora, Hyaenidae. The record is from RefSeq and is a predicted model, not a curated record.